UACAGCGUGAAGCAACAUACUGUAAAUCAACUAAUUUUCACUGGCGAUUUCGCUGAUUUCGCCGGUGGGUAUCAGCCGGCCAAAAUAAAUCGCAGGCUAACAUUUGUCAUAGAGGAAAAUGAUGCAUUAUUGAGCCAUGGCUGCAUGUGAGAGCAACAAAUACCAGUCGAUUUCUUUUUUGAAAAACCCAAUCGGCCAAAGUUAAAUGACGGCCAAAAGUUUCAUUUCGGGAUCGGCCAAAGUUUCUCACCGGCCAAAAUAAUUAAUUUGUUGAUUUACAGUAUUAGGGAAGGUCAAAGGUGGAAAGGUCGAAGGUCGAAAAAUUAUUCUCGAAAUGACGUCAAACGGUCCGAACAUUCCCGAAAUGACGUCAAACGGUCCUGAAACUCCCGAAAUGACGUCAAACGGUCCUGAUGGCCUGAUUGAUUAUGCCCGCGGCGGGAAGAUCGCCUAUGGGGCUGUUAAGUGAUGACGUCACAGUUCCUUCGAUACGCAUAGCAACGAUCCCACUGGGGACAAACAAAAGUAGCGUCGUCUCCACCGAACCAGUUGUCAGUGGCAACAUAUAGGAAUCGUGUACAUUUCUCGUUUCUUCUUUGCAGUUUUCAGUGAGUGUUUUGUUUUCUCUUUGUCCUUGAUCUCGACGGUGUUGUCGUGCUCAUUACCUUACUGAGACGUCUCUUGUGACUGUAGCCAGUGUCACGGAGGAUUUUAUUGGCGUGACGAGGUAGAUCGCCGAGAUCGAGCGUGAAAAACGCUCUGCAUUAGUAGCUCCUGUAGAAUGUCUUUUGGGAUGGCGUAUCCAUGGUCAACAAAGCCAAGGUGCAAGACAGCAUAAGAGAUCGUGUAAACGAUGUGACCUCCAAAAGGUAAGCUCCUGAACAAGUCGAAAGAUAUGUGUAUUUACAAACUCUCUCUUCAUCCAUCGAUUGCCGCUAUGCAUUGCAUUUUGUCUUCACAGAUAAUCUGGACAAAUAAAUUAUAUUGUAACUGGAGAGUGCAAUCGUGCUUGGGACCCAUCCCAAUGUCAUCACAUGGCUGUGGUGACUAGUGUAUACCUGUACCUGGGAGAGUUUUUCCUCAACCGAGACAGAGUGUAGGUGGACGGAUUAUGAGAAAUGCGAAGAUGUGGAGUUCAAGGCUAUAUGCACUUCACAUUCGGCGUGCGAUCUCGGCGUCUGGGACCUGAUAACGUCUUGGUUGGAUGGGUGAUCAAGGAUGAUACUACUCGGCACACCAAUGUACAUAUCAAUGUAAUUUUUACUUUUUCAGAGCUGCACUAUUUACGGACGAAUGUGUCUGUUAGAGAGGAAAUAAAUAGUAUUCACAAACAAGUCCCACUUAUUGUUUCUGUUCGUAAAAGGAAAUUGCAAUUAAAUUGGUCAUAUUGUUCGUUCCGGCUGUUUGUCAUUGACUGUUCUUCAGGGUUGUGUUGCUGGAGGUCGUGGCCGAGGCAGGCCCAGAAUGUCAUGGCUUGAUAAUAAUUAUUAUUUCAUGGACUGCACUUGACGUGCAGUCCCUGCUCGCUGCUGCACGCGAUCGAUUUUUAUGGCGCUCGCUUGUUCAUACUUGCUCUGUGACGCCGCGACGGGCUUAGGGCUUGUGAUGAUGACUAUUUACGUCUUGAUGCUUACUUCGGUGCUAGCGUGUUUCCCCCGGAUUAUUUCUAUCAUCAUGCGUGUUCUUGGGCUGAGCGAGCACAUGCACGAGUGUGCAGCUAUAACCCCGUGUAUCUUUGGUUACACUUUGUUCUGCAAUGCAUGUACCUUGUAACAGUAUGUGCUUGCACUGCUUUGUGUGGCCUGCGUAUUUCAGGACUAUUUAGUGCAUUAGACCCAGGUUGGUUUGGUUGCCGGAUGAUCUCUUGUUGCGUCGCUCUGUGUUUUGUAUUCAUCAAUUUUUGGGCUUGAGAAUUGAGCUGGUGUGUGGUUCCCAAUAUCAAAACAUCAUGCUGGUGCUCUGUGUUUCGAUUAUCGACUGUCCGAGCAGUCACGAUUCAUUA
Long non-coding RNA from Sycon ciliatum, 2002 nucleotides. RefSeq lists it as uncharacterized. The record is from RefSeq and is a predicted model, not a curated record. The transcript is spliced from 2 exons. NCBI's taxonomy places the organism in Eukaryota, Metazoa, Porifera, Calcarea, Leucosolenida, Sycettidae.